CUUCUCUCCUCAGUGUCUUUAUAAGCUUCAGUGUCUCUUCUCCUCUCACUCCAACCCUGCUCACCUCUCAGCUGGACAGUAAGGGACGUUUACAGCACACACUGACAACAUGCUGGGGACCCUGUGCACUCUCAUCACUGCUCUAACAUGUGUGAGUGCUGUGACGCUGGUGACACAGAAGCCUCCUGUUGUGACUCUGAGGAGAGGAGAGACAGCCACCAUGGACUGUAACCUGGAGACUGUGACUGAUAGUACUGCUCGUUGGUACAAACAGAUUCCAGGAGGAGUUCCUCAGUAUAUUCUCAGGAACUAUCACACCUGGAGCUCUCCAAGCUAUGGCUCUGGUUUCUCCUCUCCAAAGUUCACAUCCACUCAUCAGUCACAAUCAGAUUAUCGUUUGAUCAUCAGCACUGUGGAGGAGAGAGACUCAGCAGUUUAUUACUGUCAGACAUUUGACAGCUCUGUUGAUGAGAACGUAUCACAGUGAUUUACACCGUGACAAAAACCUCCUCACUGAACACUUCUGCUUUUUCACUCUCUGACACAUUAACUAAAGCCCCCUGUAACUACCAACCAGUGUCCUCAGUGUAUUCUUGAUAGACCACUUUGAUGUAAAAAAAAAAAACACUAACCAUUUAUUUAUCAUCAGUAAACAUGAAGACAUAACAUA
Molecule: non-coding RNA, 670 nt
Organism: Labrus mixtus (cuckoo wrasse)
Lineage: Eukaryota; Metazoa; Chordata; Actinopteri; Labriformes; Labridae
Source: the annotation of a RefSeq genome assembly